This 710-nucleotide long non-coding RNA is filed under the name Brassica rapa (field mustard). Its description in RNAcentral is "long non-coding RNA (BRAP_LNC008868)". Lineage: Eukaryota; Viridiplantae; Streptophyta; Magnoliopsida; Brassicales; Brassicaceae. The record is from RNAcentral.
UAUAAGCAUUUAGAAGUAUGUCUAAGCUAUUUGAAUCAUUGGCCUUGAUAAAACUAGUGAGCAUAAGCAUGAAUGGUGUCACUCGUGUCGCCUUAAUUGCAGAAGUAUCAUCUAGACUUGUGUUCCAUGUUGGAUUGAAUCUGUUUCAUUCAUAUAGUUAGUGUAACCUAAUGCAUUCAUCUAUUGUUGCAUUUAAAAAAAAAACUGAAUUGAUUGUCUAGCUUGUUUCAAGUAUCAUAUAUUAUUGUGGCAUUGGUGAUCAAACAGGAUGGAUUAUCUUGGUUUGAUCCCAAUGGGAUGAUCUGAUCUUGCAUUGAGUUUUGGUGGUGUUAGGUACACAAGGGAAGUGAUACAUGUAACUCGCCAUCAACCAAGAAUGUAGAGACAAAGGUCUUGUGCCAUUGCAUAUCAUCACUAGGACAUGUUAGUCCAUAAUCUACAGGAAGUGUAGUGUGAUUAAGUAUGCAAUGAGAGAUAGCCAUUGCAUAAUACCAUUGGACAUAUCUAGUCCUUAGUCUACAGGAAGUGUAGCAUGGGUCAUUAUGCAAUGAGAGGUGUGUCUUGUGAGACUCUCUAUGGUGAUUCAAACACCCUAGUUCCUGGUUAAGGAAGAGAGUAAACUCACAAGAAGAAAGCUAUCAUGAAAGAUGAUAGUUAUUAGACCAUGGGGAUGCAUAGGAUCAUCACAAGCUUAGCUCCUUCUAGUCUCG